GUGGGGAAUAUUGGACAAUGGGGGGAACCCUGAUCCAGCCAUGCCGCGUGUGUGAAGAAGGCCUUUUGGUUGUAAAGCACUUUAAGCGAGGAGGAGGCUACUUAGAUUAAUACUCUAGGAUAGUGGACGUUACUCGCAGAAUAAGCACCGGCUAACUCUGUGCCAGCAGCCGCGGUAAUACAGAGGGUGCAAGCGUUAAUCGGAUUUACUGGGCGUAAUGCGCGCGUAGGUGGCCAAUUAAGUCAAAUGUGAAAUCCCCUAGCUUACCUUGGGAAUUGCAUGCGAUACUGGUUGGCUAGAGUAUGGGAGAGGAUGGUAGAAUUCCAGGUGUAGCGGUGAAAUGCGUAGAGAUCUGGAGGAAUACCGAUGGCGAAGGCAGCCAUCUGGCCUAAUACUGACACUGAGGUGCGAAAGCAUGGGGAGCAAACAGGAUUAGAUACCCGGGUAGUCC
This 451-nucleotide ribosomal RNA is filed under the name uncultured bacterium. RNAcentral's name for it is "partial 16S ribosomal RNA". It matches the Rfam family "Bacterial small subunit ribosomal RNA", at positions 354 to 796 of the family's 1533-position model. The record is from RNAcentral.